Molecule: ribosomal RNA, 451 nt
Filed under: uncultured bacterium
Lineage: Bacteria
Description: partial 16S ribosomal RNA
Rfam family: Bacterial small subunit ribosomal RNA
Source: RNAcentral
GUGAGGAAUAUUACGCAAUGGGCGAAAGCCCGACGUAGCGACGCCGCGUGGACGAUGAAGGUCUUCGGAUCGUAAAGUCCUGUUGUAGGGGAAGAAAUGUUGUGGGGCUAAUAUCUCCGCAAUUUGACUGUACCCUGCGAGAAAGCCCCGGCCAACUCCGUGCCAGCAGCCGCGGUAAUACGGGGGGGGCGAGCGUUAUUCGGAAUCACUGGGCAUAAAGGGCGUUUAGGUGGUAUGGUUAGUUGUAGGUGAAAGCCCCGGGCUCAACCCGGGAAGUGCUUGCAAUACUGCAGUACUUGAGGUCGGGAGAGGAGAGCGGAAUUCCUAGUGUAGCGGUGAAAUGCGUAGAUAUUAGGAGGAACACCAGUGGCGAAGGCGGCUCUCUGGACCGAUUCUGACACUGAAGCGCGAAAGCUAGGGGAGCAAACGGGAUUAGAAACCCGAGUAGUCC